Molecule: long non-coding RNA, 704 nt
Filed under: Homo sapiens (human)
Lineage: Eukaryota; Metazoa; Chordata; Mammalia; Primates; Hominidae
Description: HSALNT0260168
Source: RNAcentral
CCAUGAUUGCACCAUGAUUGCACUCCAGCCUGGGUGACAGAGCAAGACCCUAUCUCAAAAAAAAAAAACCCUAGUUUGGGGGCAAAUGGUUGGUUGUGGUAGUCAAGAUGCAUUGUUUAUGGGUGACUAACACUGAGGACUCAGAUUCUCACUUUGAGAAGAUGGAUGCUGGGGCUCAAGAUCCUGAAUUUGGGGUGCCUGGAGUUCCUCCUGCCCAGUUCUGGGCACGUGUGAGCCCUUGUUCCUGUUUUGGGACACCCAACACCCAGCUCUAGAUGUCUGCAGUUGUGUGGCUUCGUCACUGAGGCCGGGGAUGGGGGCUACUGACACCCACAUUAGUGACGACAGUGGGGGCCUACUGUCUAGAUUAGAAGUGACUUCCUGUGGCAUUUCACCUGUCAUGUUUGGGGUGAGUCAGUUCGGAGACUCAGGUGUCAAGUCUAGGGUGACUGGUUUUGAGGUUUAGCGGUGACCGAGGUUGGCAGCCCACAUGUUGAUUUGGGGGUCCUACUGAUUACCUUAGGGCUGACUGAAGUUUGGAGCUCACUUGCUUAGUCUGGGGGUCACUGAGCCUGGGUGCCCCAGGCCCUAGUUUUGGGGACAUCUGAGACUGGGAGGCUAUAUGCAAAGUGUGUGGGUGGGUGGCUGUGGAGCUCAGAUGCCUAUUUUGAGAGUGACUUGCUGUGGUUUUGCUGACCUUGAGG